Ceratotherium simum simum (southern white rhinoceros) is the source of this 595-nucleotide non-coding RNA. NCBI's taxonomy places the organism in Eukaryota, Metazoa, Chordata, Mammalia, Perissodactyla, Rhinocerotidae. The record is from the annotation of a RefSeq genome assembly.
UGUGCAGAAACCCCAUUUCCGGCUCUGCAGCAGCAAGACCACAGGACCACCCAGCUCCAGUGACACUUCAAAAGCCUGUCAGGUGGCCGGCAGAAUAAGAGCCAUUUCACCAGUAGGAAGAGCCCCAAGGAUGCAGCCCGGACCACUUGCUCUCUUGUGCGCAGUCUUUGCCUUCAUCUGCUUUGGUUCCAGCAAUACACAGAGAAUCAUUCAACCUACAAAUGAAGUGUACAGGCAAGAGGGAGACUCUGUGACCUUGGACUGCAAAAUCACAGUCAGUUAUGCUUACUAUAUGAUGUACUGGUAUCAACAGCUUUCCAGUGGAGAGAUGACUCACAUCAUUCAACUACAUUCUGACCGCAGGUUGUCAAGGGAAGGACGAUAUUCUGUGGUGUUUCAGAAACCAACCCUAGAGCUCACCAUCUCAGCCUUGACGUCUAGAGACUCAGCUGUCUAUUUCUGUGCUGUAGCACAAGCAUCCCACAGUGAAAGUAGUGAUGGGAAGAGCCUUACAAAAACCCCAAGUCUCAGCAUGAGACAGCCAGCUGCUCCAGAAGCCUGGGAGAGAACAACCCACAGGACAGGAAGAGGGUAG